RNAcentral lists this non-coding RNA (126 nucleotides) under Chloroflexota bacterium. Its description in RNAcentral is "Chloroflexi bacterium SAM-I sequence". It matches the Rfam family "SAM riboswitch aptamer (S box leader)". From Rfam's summary of the family: The SAM riboswitch is found upstream of a number of genes which code for proteins involved in methionine or cysteine biosynthesis in Gram-positive bacteria. The SAM riboswitch acts at the level of transcription termination control. The record is from RNAcentral. Lineage: Bacteria; Bacillati; Chloroflexota.
CUCUUAUCCAGAGAGGCGGAGGGACCGGCCCUGUGAAGCCUCGACAACCUGAUUACCCUGGGUGUGGUUUGAAAAGGGUAUUCGAAGGUGCCAAUUCCGGCAGAUCGAAAUUCUGGAAGAUGAGAG